UCAAUCAGUAUCAUUGCUGUAGGCAGAU
This 28-nucleotide small RNA is filed under the name Bombyx mori (domestic silkworm). RNAcentral describes it as "ovarian small RNA-24829". Lineage: Eukaryota; Metazoa; Arthropoda; Insecta; Lepidoptera; Bombycidae. The record is from RNAcentral.